Molecule: ribosomal RNA, 497 nt
Filed under: uncultured bacterium
Lineage: Bacteria
Description: partial 16S ribosomal RNA
Rfam family: Bacterial small subunit ribosomal RNA
Source: RNAcentral
GAUGAACGCUGGCGGCGUGCCUAAUACAUGCAAGUCGAGCGAACAGACGAGGAGCUUGCUCCUCUGACGUUAGCGGCGGACGGGUGAGUAACACGUGGAUAACCUACCUAUAAGACUGGGAUAACUUCGGGAAACCGGAGCUAAUACCGGAUAAUAUAUUGAACCGCAUGGUUCAAUAGUGAAAGACGGUUUUGCUGUCACUUAUAGAUGGAUCCGCGCCGCAUUAGCUAGUUGGUAAGGUAACGGCUUACCAAGGCAACGAUGCGUAGCCGACCUGAGAGGGGGGUCGGCCACACUGGAACGGGGACAGGGUCCAGGCUCCUACGGGAGGCACCAGAAGGGAAUCUUCCGCAAUGGGCGAAAGUUUGACGGAGCACCGCCGCGGGAGUGAUAAAGGUCUUGGGAGCGUAAAACUCUGUUAUUAGGGAAAAACAAAUGUGUAAGUAACUAUGCACGUCUUGACGGUACCUAAUCAAAAAGCCACGGCUAACUACGUG